Molecule: ribosomal RNA, 607 nt
Filed under: Fusarium sp. TUD1D211
Lineage: Eukaryota; Fungi; Ascomycota; Sordariomycetes; Hypocreales; Nectriaceae
Description: eukaryotic LSU rRNA
Rfam family: Eukaryotic large subunit ribosomal RNA
Source: RNAcentral
UCUAGGCCCCGUCAGGAGCCCGAGUUGUAAUUUGGAGAGGACACUUCGGGCAAAGUGAAGCGGCAACAGCUCAAAUUUGAAAUCUGGCUCUCGGGCCCGAGUUGUAAUUUGUAGAGGAUGCUUUUGGUGAGGUGCCUUCCGAGUUCCCUGGAACGGGACGCCAUAGAGGGUGAGAGCCCCGUCUGGUUGGACACCGAUCCUCUGUAAAGCUCCUUCGACGAGUCGAGUAGUUUGGGAAUGCUGCUCUAAAUGGGAGGUAUAUGUCUUCUAAAGCUAAAUACCGGCCAGAGACCGAUAGCGCACAAGUAGAGUGAUCGAAAGAUGAAAAGAACUUUGAAAAGAGAGUUAAACAGUACGUGAAAUUGUUGAAAGGGAAGCGCUUGUGACCAGACUUGGGCUUGGUUGAUCAUCCGGGGUUCUCCCCGGUGCACUCUUCCGGCUCAGGCCAGCAUCAGUUCGCCCUGGGGGACAAAGGCUUCGGGAAUGUGGCUCUCUCCGGGGAGUGUUAUAGCCCGUUGCGUAAUACCCUGUGGCGGACUGAGGUUCGCGCAUUCGCAAGGAUGCUGGCGUAAUGGUCAUCAGUGACCCGUCUUGAAACACGGGACCA